AUUGAACGCUGGCGGCAGGCUUAACACAUGCAAGUCGAACGGUAACAUGAAGAAGCUUGCUUCUUUGAUGACGAGUGGCGGACGGGUGAGUAAUGCUUGGGAAUCUAGCUUAUGGAGGGGGAUAACUACGGGAAACUGUAGCUAAUACCGCGUAGAAUCGAGAGAUGAAAGUGUGGGACCUUCGGGCCACAUGCCAUAGGAUGAGCCCAAGUGGGAUUAGGUAGUUGGUGAGGUAAAGGCUCACCAAGCCGACGAUCUCUAGCUGGUCUGAGAGGAUGACCAGCCACACUGGGACUGAGACACGGCCCAGACUCCUACGGGAGGCAGCAGUGGGGAAUAUUGCGCAAUGGGGGCAACCCUGACGCAGCCAUGCCGCGUGAAUGAAAAAGGCCUUCGGGUUGUAAAGUUCUUUCGGUAGCGAGGAAGGCAUUUAGUUUAAUAGACUAAGUGAUUGACGUAACUACA
This 465-nucleotide ribosomal RNA is filed under the name Terrahaemophilus aromaticivorans. Its description in RNAcentral is "bacterial SSU rRNA". It matches the Rfam family "Bacterial small subunit ribosomal RNA", at positions 30 to 483 of the family's 1533-position model. Lineage: Bacteria; Pseudomonadati; Pseudomonadota; Gammaproteobacteria; Pasteurellales; Pasteurellaceae. The record is from RNAcentral.